Molecule: ribosomal RNA, 496 nt
Filed under: uncultured bacterium
Lineage: Bacteria
Description: partial 16S ribosomal RNA
Rfam family: Bacterial small subunit ribosomal RNA
Source: RNAcentral
GAUGAACGCUGGCGGCGUGCCUAAUACAUGCAAGUCGAGCGAACAGACGAGGAGCUUGCUCCUCUGACGUUAGCGGCGGACGGGUGAGUAACACGUGGAUAACCUACCUAUAAGACUGGGAUAACUUCGGGAAACCGGAGCUAAUACCGGAUAAUAUAUUGAACCGCAUGGUUCAAUAGUGAAAGACGGUUUUGCUGUCACUUAUAGAUGGAUCCGCGCCGCAUUAGCUAGUUGGUAAGGUAACGGCUUACCAAGGCGACGAUGCGUAGCCGACCUGAGAGGGUGAUCGGCCACACUGGAACUGAGACACGGUCCAGACUCCUACGGGAGGCAGCAGUAGGGAAUCUUCCGCAAUGGGCGAAAGCCUGACGGAGCAACGCCGCGGGAGUGAUGAAGGUCUUCGGAUCGUAAAACUCUGUUAUUAGGGAAGAACAAAUGUGUAGUAACUAUGCACGUCUUGACGGUACCUAAUCAGAAAGCCACGGCUAACUACGUG